AUAUGGAAUAAUUAAAAAUAUAUAUAAAUUUUAUAUAGUAUUACUAAAUUUCUGUAAUUGAUAACUGUUUUUUUUUUUUUUAUUUCCUAUAAUGUAUUUUUUAUUUUUCAAGAAGCAUUAUUGUUAUUUUAAAUGAAGAAAAUAUGCCAUUUAAAUUACUAUAUUUUCAUUAUUUUGAUCACUAUAUUCAGUAGGGAUAUUCAAAUUAGUCAACAGUCUGUUCGCUUAAAUUUGAUGUCGGGGGAAUCGAGAGAAUUCUAUCUGGUCAAAAAGGCUCUUAAAAUAACUGAUUGUUUUAUAAAACAUUGUACCGGUUACUGGUUAACGCGCUAUUAUGAAAGAUGUACGCUUGAAUUAUACUAGCAUGUAUUAAAGGACACACUACCAGUUCAAGUUAUUCGACAGAUUUAUUAUAUCAUUAAAGAAAAAAUCGUCGAAAUAAUUUAAACAUUCG
This 454-nucleotide long non-coding RNA is filed under the name Androctonus crassicauda. Lineage: Eukaryota; Metazoa; Arthropoda; Arachnida; Scorpiones; Buthidae. The record is from RNAcentral.